GACGAACGCUGGCGGCGUGCUUAACACAUGCAAGUCGAACGGAAAGGCCCUGCUUUUGUGGGGUGCUCGAGUGGCGAACGGGUGAGUAACACGUGAGUAACCUGCCCUUGACUUUGGGAUAACUUCAGGAAACUGGGGCUAAUACCGGAUAGGAGCUCCUGCUGCAUGGUGGGGGUUGGAAAGUUUCGGCGGUUGGGGAUGGACUCGCGGCUUAUCAGCUUGUUGGUGGGGUAGUUGCUUACCAAGGCUUUGACGGGUAGCCGGCCUGGGAGGGUGACCGGCCACAUUGGGACUGAGAUACGGCCCAGAAGCCUACGGGAGGCAGCAGUGGGGAAUAUUGCACAAUGGGCGGAAGCCUGAUGCAGCAACGCCGCGUGCGGGAUGACGGCCUUCGGGUUGUAAACCGCUUUCGCCUGUGACGAAGCGUGAGUGACGGUAAUGGGUAAAGAAGCACCGGCUAACUACGUG
This 468-nucleotide ribosomal RNA is filed under the name uncultured bacterium. RNAcentral's name for it is "partial 16S ribosomal RNA". It matches the Rfam family "Bacterial small subunit ribosomal RNA", at positions 28 to 507 of the family's 1533-position model. The record is from RNAcentral.